This 178-nucleotide small nucleolar RNA is filed under the name Ochotona princeps (American pika). Its description in RNAcentral is "Small nucleolar RNA SNORA74 (ENSOPRG00000023168.1)". The record is from RNAcentral. Lineage: Eukaryota; Metazoa; Chordata; Mammalia; Lagomorpha; Ochotonidae.
CCCAGCUGUAGGCAACUGCCCAGGUUGCCUUGGACCUAGGCAAGUGUUACACUGCUGGGAGAAAAAAGCAGGCAACAGCUGGCAGGCAUUCUGGAGCUGAUUAAUGCCAAGUCUGUGUUAACUAUGCCAGUGUGCCAGUGCAGUUGAAGUGACUGGUGCCACCGUAGGCACACACCAG